RNAcentral lists this long non-coding RNA (509 nucleotides) under Numida meleagris (helmeted guineafowl). RNAcentral's name for it is "lncRNA (ENSNMEG00000006815.1)". The record is from RNAcentral. Lineage: Eukaryota; Metazoa; Chordata; Aves; Galliformes; Numididae.
GGAAGCAAGGCAUCAAAGCCUUCAUGUCGUGCUCUCGUUGAUCGUGUAGUGCGGCUUAAGAAGAAAAAGCGAGAUUUACUAUGCAGCACGUUUUCCCUAUUUAGAAGUGGCAUUUAAGAUGAGAGAACCAUGUAAGAGAUAGGAGAAUCUUCUGCUGCUUGUUGUUCUUCAUGAAAGGAAAAAUAGAGUCAGAAGAGCAGCUGAACAAGAGGUGAAUCUUAGGUUGGUUAUAUGUGGUGCAGUUUCCUCUCUCCAAGGAUGACUGGUCGUAAAGGAAAGGAAUUGUGAAAGCUGAGUCUGCUGCAUCAUUCUCUGUGGGGAUCACAUCACAAAACUCUGAAGACCUUUGAACUGUGAGUUAAAUCCCACAGUGUUUGAUAUACAGGACAGUAUCCAGGCUUCUACCAAACAGAUCUAAAAGUAGUAUAGGUCUGUAUUUUAUGUAUGUAUAUAUUUAUGGGUAGGGAUAAAUUAUUCUAUGGAUUAGACCAAUUAACAUAGAUGAGAAG